ACUGCGGUCCGUCCCCACGAAGGACGCCUGCGCCGCUGCAAGGCACAAACUACUGCUGCGCAUGCGCCCAGAGAGGCCUCAGGCGCACCCAGCGCAGCGAGGGACCAGAAGCGCAGCCGCGUCGGGGAUGCCUCCACUUCCGGGACAAUCCGGCCAAGGCAGCAGUGUGGGAACGGAAAACUCUUCACUGGGUCGGGGCGGGGGCAGUGGGGAAGGACUGGCUGCCCCGCUGUGCAGAAAAAGGAGGCCCCCAGAGAUCAGGUCCUCUGUAUUUGGCUCAAUGACCAGCAGAGAACGCCACUCAGGA
Molecule: long non-coding RNA, 307 nt
Organism: Prionailurus viverrinus (fishing cat)
Lineage: Eukaryota; Metazoa; Chordata; Mammalia; Carnivora; Felidae
Exons: 3
Source: RefSeq, a predicted model, not a curated record